AAAUAAACAAAACUUGGGGUCAUACUGCCCAGAAACUCUUAUUCCUAGUCUGUGUCCAACAAACUCAGGGUAAUCAUAAAACAACUUAUAACAACUUAUUCAAUUCAUUGGAUAUCGUCAUAUCCAGAAACCUAUUCUCCCUAGUCCAUACAUUUAUAGACUUAGUUUAAAUAUAAUUGUGUACUAUACUCUUAACUAAACUUCAAUUCAAUUCCUCUUGGAUCUCUGAACUCUUAAAUCCAAGGCAUUCUUAAUGUAUAUAAUUACUUCAUAUUAAUCAAUAUAAAUUAUCCUUAAUAUAAAUUAUCCUUCCUUAGUUUUCUUCCUUAUGUUACCAUUGUUUGUUUUACUUCACCUCGAUUAUAAACAAAAUAUUUAUUCUAGUGAAUCUAUGAAAUACCAUUGCACUCAAUCUUUGUAGUAUUAAGUAACCAUGAUCCUUAUUUUAUCAACUUCAUAUUUUUUCUACCUCUGAUACUUCUCAUCCUAUGUAUAGGUCAUAAUAUAAUAGUUCUUUUCAUAAUACUACCCUAUCAUAAUUUUACUCCAUGUGUGAUAUAGUUAUAAGUACUCUCUUUUGGUAUUAAUACACUCAUAACUGUUAAAU
Pelobates cultripes (western spadefoot toad) is the source of this 607-nucleotide non-coding RNA. The record is from the annotation of a GenBank genome assembly. Lineage: Eukaryota; Metazoa; Chordata; Amphibia; Anura; Pelobatidae.